Molecule: transfer RNA, 74 nt
Filed under: Candidatus Staskawiczbacteria bacterium
Lineage: Bacteria; Candidatus Staskawicziibacteriota
Description: tRNA-His
Rfam family: tRNA
About the family: Transfer RNA (tRNA) molecules are approximately 80 nucleotides in length. Their secondary structure includes four short double-helical elements and three loops (D, anti-codon, and T loops). Further hydrogen bonds mediate the characteristic L-shaped molecular structure. tRNAs have two regions of fundamental functional importance: the anti-codon, which is responsible for specific mRNA codon recognition, and the 3' end, to which the tRNAs corresponding amino acid is attached (by aminoacyl-tRNA synthetases). tRNAs cope with the degeneracy of the genetic code in two manners: having more than one tRNA (with a specific anti-codon) for a particular amino acid; and 'wobble' base-pairing, i.e. permitting non-standard base-pairing at the 3rd anti-codon position.
Source: RNAcentral
GAGGCCAUGGUGUAGCAGCAACACAACGCUCUGUGGCAGCGUUAUCACGGGUGCAAAUCCCGUUGGUCUCCCCA